RNAcentral lists this ribosomal RNA (500 nucleotides) under uncultured bacterium. RNAcentral's name for it is "bacterial SSU rRNA". It matches the Rfam family "Bacterial small subunit ribosomal RNA", at positions 23 to 521 of the family's 1533-position model. The record is from RNAcentral.
CUCAAGAUGAACGCUGGCGGCGUGCCUAACACAUGCAAGUCGAACGAAGCGUGCGGAUGGAAUUUCUUCGGAGAGGAAGCCUGCAUGACUGAGUGGCGGACGGGUGAGUAACGCGUGGGCAACCUGCCCUGCACAGGGGGACAACAGCCGGAAACGGCUGCUAAUACCGCAUAAGCGCACAGCUUCGCAUGGAGCGGUGUGAAAAGCUGCGGCGGUGCAGGAUGGGCCCGCGUCUGAUUAGCUGGUUGGCGGGGCAACGGCCCACCAAGGCGACGAUCAGUAGCCGGCCUGAGAGGGUGGACGGCCACAUUGGGACUGAGACACGGCCCAGACUCCUACGGGAGGCAGCAGUGGGGAAUAUUGCACAAUGGGGGAAACCCUGAUGCAGCGACGCCGCGUGAGCGAAGAAGUAUUUCGGUAUGUAAAGCUCUAUCAGCAGGGAAGAAAUUGACGGUACCUGAGUAAGAAGCUCCGGCUAAAUACGUGCCAGCAGCCGCGGU